CCUACGGGAGGCAGCAGUGGGGAAUCUUGCGCAAUGGGCGAAAGCCUGACGCAGCCAUGCCGCGUGAAUGAUGAAGGUCUUAGGAUUGUAAAAUUCUUUCAGUAGGGACGAUAAUGACGGUACCUACAGAAGAAGCCCCGGCUAACUUCGUGCCAGCAGCCGCGGUAAUACGAAGGGGGCUAGCGUUGCUCGGAAUUACUGGGCGUAAAGGGAGCGUAGGCGGGUUAUCAAGUUGGAGGUGAAAGCCCAGGGCUCAACCUUGGAAUUGCCUUCAAAACUGAUAGCCUAGAGUAUGAUAGAGGUAUGUGGAACUCCGAGUGUAGAGGUGAAAUUCGUAGAUAUUCGGAAGAACACCAGUGGCGAAGGCGACAUACUGGGUCAUGACUGACGCUGAGGCUCGAAAGCGUGGGGAGCAAACAGGAUUAGAUACCCUGGUAGUCCACGCUGUAAACGAUGAUUGCUAGUUGUCGGACGGCAUGCCGUUCGGUGACGCNGCUACGCAUAAGACAUCCGCCGUCGGGAGGUACGGUCGGCGAGAAGUUAAAACGUUAAAACGGUAAAGUUAGUACGGCGUGAGACGUGCCGACGGACGACGACGAGGGAGGUUAGG
Molecule: ribosomal RNA, 610 nt
Filed under: uncultured bacterium
Lineage: Bacteria
Description: bacterial SSU rRNA
Rfam family: Bacterial small subunit ribosomal RNA (bases 1-515)
Source: RNAcentral